UGUGCAGCCCCUGUGCAAGGCGUGUGAAGUGUGCAAGCCCCGUGCAAGCUGUGCGAGCCCUGUGUGAGGUUGUGCAAGGUGUGCAAGCCCCGUGCAAGCUGUGCAAGCCCCGUGUGAGGUUGUGCAAGGCGUGCAAGCUGUGCAAGGCGUGCAAGCCCCGUGCAAGCUGUGCAAGCCCCGCGUGAGGUUGUGCAAGGUGUGCAAGCCCCAUGCAAGCUGUGCAAGCCCCGCGUGAGGUUGUGCAAGGCGUGCAAGCCCCGUGCAAGCUGUGCAAGCCCCGUGUGAGG
RNAcentral lists this long non-coding RNA (287 nucleotides) under Anser brachyrhynchus (Pink-footed goose). RNAcentral describes it as "lncRNA (ENSABRG00000015169.1)". Lineage: Eukaryota; Metazoa; Chordata; Aves; Anseriformes; Anatidae. The record is from RNAcentral.